AAGUUAAUUUAAUGGCCGCGGUAUUUUGACCGUGCAAAGGUAGCAUAAUCAUUAGUUCAUUAAUUGUGGACUUGUAUGAAUGGUUGGACGAAAUAUUGACUGUCUCAUUUAUAUUAUUAGAAUUUAAAUUUUUAGUUAAAAUGCUUAAAUUUAUUUAUUGGACGAGAAGACCCUAUAGAUCUUUAUUAUUUUAUUUAUUUUCUUUUUUGGAUUUAAUUGUUUAAAUGUACUUAAUAAAUUAAAUUGGUUGGUUGGGGUGAUAUUAAGAUAUAAUUAACUCUUAUUUUAUGUUAUAUCAAUUAUUUUUGUAUUGUUGACCUUUUAUUAUUGUUUAGAGAUUUAGAUACCUUAGGGAUAACAGCGUAAUUUUCUUUGAGAGUUCUUAUUGACAGGAAAGAUUGCGACCUCGAUGUUGGAUUAAGAUUAUAUUUAGGUGAAGUAGCUUAAACAUUAAGUCUGUUCGACUUUUAAAAUCUUACAUGAUCUGAGUU
Molecule: ribosomal RNA, 491 nt
Filed under: Brockphasma spinifemoralis
Lineage: Eukaryota; Metazoa; Arthropoda; Insecta; Phasmatodea; Lonchodidae
Description: partial 16S ribosomal RNA
Rfam family: Bacterial large subunit ribosomal RNA
Source: RNAcentral